GGGCCCGUAGCUCAGCCAGGAUAGAGCACCGGCCUUCGGAGCCGGGGGUCGGGGGUUCAAAUCCCCCCGGGCCCG
This 75-nucleotide transfer RNA is filed under the name Desulfurococcaceae archaeon AG1. It matches the Rfam family "tRNA". Rfam says of the family: Transfer RNA (tRNA) molecules are approximately 80 nucleotides in length. RNAcentral also lists the same sequence under 3 other names. The record is from Rfam by way of RNAcentral. Lineage: Archaea; Thermoproteati; Thermoproteota; Thermoprotei; Desulfurococcales; Desulfurococcaceae.